RNA transcript from Zophobas morio, 4433 nucleotides. It is a transcript of the gene named ubiquitin thioesterase trabid, with no coding region annotated. The record is from RefSeq and is a predicted model, not a curated record. Lineage: Eukaryota; Metazoa; Arthropoda; Insecta; Coleoptera; Tenebrionidae. The transcript is spliced from 7 exons.
GGUCGGUAAUGUAGUUUCCUGCGUAGUUGUCAUGGCCGAAGUGGAAAGGUGAUGAAAAUUUGUCAAAAUAGCAAUAUUUUGACGUUUCGUAAAAUUCGGAUUGAUUUGACAUCAGGCGUAUCGAUUAUUAUACAAAUGGUAUCUAAAUUAUUUGUUUUCCGAUCUACACUAAUCAUAAAUCACUGUGCCUUCAUUACAAAAACAUUUAUUUGACCCUGUUGUUGAAGGUGAGAGAGAAAUUAGUGAUAAUCCCCAAUUCCGCAAAAAAGCACGGUUUUUAACGCUAUCGGCCUUGUGCUUAUCACCGAGCAUAAAACCCUGUGUAGUCGUCGCCCCGUCGUGCCCCAAACCGCCCCCGAGUCGGACCCGAAAGUGCAUAAAUUUAGCUCUGACAUUGGCAUUGUGUGAUCACAAUGGAGUCGCAACGCAUCCCCAAAUAGCCGCCGGCCCUCCGAACCACCACCACACAAAUAUGAUAAAUUCAUGACACAACUCAUCGCAUGAAUAUCGCCUGUUUCUGUACUCAGGUCAGUCAAAACACUCAAAAUGAGCGAAAGCGAUGCGAAAUGGGCAUGUGAAUACUGUACAUACGAAAACUACCCUUCGUCGAUCAAGUGCACCAUGUGCCGGGGCCCCAAGCCGUUCGUCAGUGAGGACAUCUACCGCCUCCACGGCAGCGACGACAAGCUCACGUCCAACGCGGCCGGCCCCUGCGACAACAAAUCUAAACGGAAAUGGUUGUGCGAAGCUUGCACUUUUACCAAUCCCUCACGAGAGCAGAUGUGCCAGCAGUGCGGCGCCUCGCAAGCUGUCUCCGCUAAUAAUUUACAUGAACACAUACAGCCCCUCAAGAUCUCCUCGCAGCACUCGGACUUGGCGCAGAGCUUGUCCAGAUCCAGGAAUAAUAGCCCACCCACUAUUACUAAUUUAGAAAACAGUCGCAGGACUCAGGGGAAGUGGAUCUGUGUUCUAUGUACUUACGAAAAUUGGCCAAAGACCAAGAAGUGCGCCAUGUGCGGCGCCGUCAGCUCCCACCGCCCGCAAGCGUCCAGCCUCAUACUGCCUUCGCCAGAUCGCGACAACGAAUCCGAGAAGAACCGGACCAGCCCGAACAUCCUCGAGUCGGCGCAGACGCCCAACAACCUCGAGAACGAGCGCAAGGCGCGCCAUCUGCGCCGCAACGCCGACUGGAACUGGCUCAACGCCUGCAUCGGCGUGAUCGAGGGCGACCCGAACCCCGUCGAGGCCUACCUGGCCUCCGGGGGCAACCCCGCGCGCACCCUCACCGCCUCCGAGGUCGCCAUCCUCAACCGGAGCUCGGCCUUCGACGUCGGCCACACCCUCGUCCACCUGGCCAUCCGGUUCCAGCGGGAGGACCUGCUCGCGGUCCUGCUGUCCCAGAUCGAGGGCUCGGGUUCGGGCGUGAAGCGGGUGCCCAGCUACGUAGCGCCCGACCUCGCCGCCGACAUCCGCCGCCACUUCGCGUCGAGUCUGCGCCAGAGGAAGGGCAACUUCCCGUGCAACUUCGUCACGGACUUCCCGACGUUCGCGCUGCCGGCUGAGGUGGAGGAGCUCCCGGGCACGGUCCAGGAGCAGCUGUUCAACGAGCUGCUGGACAAGGACGCGCAGUGCCAACUGGAGAGCGAGCCGGCGGUGAUCAACUGGUCGCUGGAGUUGACGGUUAGGUUAGGGUCGCGGCUGUACGCGCUGUGGAAUAGGUCGGCGGGAGACUGUCUACUGGACUCGGUGAUGCAGGCGACGUGGGGGGUGUUCGACAGGGACAACACGUUGAGGAGGGCGCUGGCGGAGAGUCUGAGUCAGAGUGGACACAUGUUUUACCCUCGCUGGAAGGAGUACGAAGCCAGUCAAGCCUCCUUCCUUCAGUACUCGUUAGACGAGGCCCAGUGGGAGGAAGAUUGGACCAGUUUACUGUCGUUAGCGAGCCAGCCCGGAACUAGUCUAGAACAAUUACACGUUUUUACUUUAGCUCAUAUUUUGCGCCGCCCCAUUAUAGUAUACGGAGUCAAGUAUGUGAAAAGUUUUCGGGGUGAAGCGUUGGGUUAUGCCCGUUUCGAGGGUGUGUAUUUGCCGCUAUUGUGGGAGCAGAGUUUCUGUGUGCGCACGCCGAUAGCUUUGGGUUAUACUAGAGGACAUUUUUCCGCUUUGGUUCCCUUGGAACCGUAUAGUCGCUUAGACACGCGGCCUUCCACUCAACAUAGCAAUAUAGGCGCGGACCAGCUUCAAAGUACGUUUCUUCCGCUAAUGGAUCGAGAUCGGAAGCUGCUUCCGAUACACUUUCUCACCGAAUCAGAGCUGGGCCGGGAAGAGACCAUCCUGCGGCAGUGGCUGGAUGUAUGCGAGACCGAAGGAGGUAUCCUCGUGGCGCAGCAGCUGCUGCACAAGCGCCCCCUGUUGGUUGCUCAAAUGGUGGAGGAAUGGUUGAAUCAUUAUAGGAGGUUGAUUCAGAUGACGUCAGCACCGUUCGCCAGACCCAUCCCCAUCCAAGACUACUUGAGCGAAUACGACACUGACGAUGAAUAGCGAAGGGUAAAAGUCGUGUCGGAAUGACGCGAUGGUAGCAAUGAUUUUUAGGAGAAAUUUUCAAUAACUCAGUAUGUCUCGUGACGGUGACUAGCUUUAGUUUAGGAAUUCGCUAGAAAGAGGAAAUUAUUUCAACAGCAAGAAUUGUUGCACGGCGUCAUUGUGGGAAUUGAUCUGAAUUUAAAUUAUUUGUUUUUUCGUAUUUUAAAUAAGGGCAUACUUCUUCCUCUUGCCUAUGCAAACAUUGUAUAGAUUUCCCUGUGGGUAGGAUAUAUUUAUUUUUAUAGAUAGCUGAAGUACAAAUAAAUCGCAAAAAAUAUAUAUUUAUUUCAUUGUGUGCGGGUUAUUACCGGUGGAGCACUAUAGUUCCUUCGUUCGUAACCGAACUUCUUUGUGAUGAUGUGCUUUAUUUUAUUUUAUUUUUUUUGUACAUGGAGAUGUUGGUUGGAUUUAUUGUUUUGUUGGGUUGUUACUAUCAUUUCUUGUUGUGCUGUGAAAUAUUUAAAGCGAAAAAGCAAAUUGUAUGGUUUUUAAGAUAACAAAUCCAAAGUCAAAUUACUUCUAACUUUAUUAGAUAGAACGUUUCUGAAUAGAUUCUUAAAUUGUGAAAUACUUACGAAAUUUAUUAUACAUAAUUAUAUUGCAUUGUUAACACACUGUUAUAAAAAAUAUAUAUUAUAAAUAGAAAAUAAAACGUUUAAAAACAUUAAACUAUUGCAUAACAGUGGAGCGUUUUCAUACCGACCCUCAUCAAAUAAAUACAUCGGUUUUUUUAAACAAGUUUUUUUAUUUGACUUAACAGUACUUUAAAACACCAUACACCUUUUUUUUAACGAAAUGAGAAAAUCCAACAUUUCACCUCACGCUAACAUACCCUGAUCAUGUCCCUUCCUGGCAAGAUCUUGCUGACGAAGCACAGAAAAUUCUAAUUUGAGAGAUGAACUCGCCAUGUAAUGCACCUGGGCACUGAGAGAAUUCUCAGCUAUUAGACCCCAGGACACAACAGUCGUGGAAAGGGUUCCCUGGCUGUUAAUAGCUAUGUGGUGGCAACCAAAUGCAACAAAGCACACGUUGACUGAAUAAGUGUGGAGGUAAACGCGGUUUAUGGAGGAAACAGUGGCGUAUGAACGUGAAGGUGUCCUUUGUCGGUACCCUUUCUGAGUACAAAGUUAGGGCGAUUUCUGAUAAUUGAAAAACUUCACUACUUCCUCCAGUUUACCAUAAUCCGAGUUGUCACCCCAUACUGACAAACUACCCGCUGGACAUCAUACUACCCGACCCGCUCCCCACAUAACAGGUACCAUUUUUGUGUGGAACAUGUCCGUGAAAACCUUAUCGUGUCCCUAAAUCCAACGGGUACUGUUGGACCGGGCCAGUACCUGAAGAUCGAGCGUUGAAGACGACAACAAUAAGUGGACUAGGGGAGAUCCUCCCCCGGUGAGUGACAUCUCAUACGUUAUUGACGGUAGAUAAAUCAGGUGUCUAUUUUCAUGAUUGGGGACCAUCACUACGGCGUCACUUUCGAGGCGAGUGAAUUUGCAGACCCAUCAUUUGUAACUACUAGACCAUUACCGAUAAUUAAUUUGUGCUAAAGGCGUCUUUUCGUCAUGAAUCAUCUUACAUUCUGAGGUGUCCCGAUUCAAAAUUAAAGCCACGAGGAACACACAAGAAGAAAAAAAGAAAAAAAACAUACGGUCCAAAAGAUCAGACCAAUCUUUGAAAACUAUCACUACGUCAUUCUCUUGGCAAGUUAUGUAGUGGCGUCGCUUUCCUUCCUCCUGCACUUAUCGCUCAUGAAAAUGCUUUUGUAGUGCCUUCUGGCAUUUUUGCCAACCUUACCACGAGUCGAAUACUACAUUUUAUUGUGCAAAUAAUAAAAAAAACACAUUAAA